RNAcentral lists this ribosomal RNA (468 nucleotides) under uncultured bacterium. RNAcentral's name for it is "partial 16S ribosomal RNA". It matches the Rfam family "Bacterial small subunit ribosomal RNA", at positions 28 to 507 of the family's 1533-position model. The record is from RNAcentral.
GACGAACGCUGGCGGCGUGCUUAACACAUGCAAGUCGAACGGAAAGGCCCUGCUUUUGUGGGGUGCUCGAGUGGCGAACGGGUGAGUAACACGUGAGUAACCUGCCCUUGACUUUGGGAUAACUUCAGGAAACUGGGGCUAAUACCGGAUAGGAGCUCCUGCUGCAUGGCGGGGGUUGGAAAGUUUCGGCGGUUGGGGAUGGACUCGCGGCUUAUCAGCUUGUUGGUGGGGUAGUGGCUUACCAAGGCUUUGACGGGUAGCCGGCCUGAGAGGGUGACCGGCCACAUUGGGACUGAGAUACGGCCCAGACUCCUACGGGAGGCAGCAGUGGGGAAUAUUGCACAAUGGGCGGAAGCCUGAUGCAGCAACGCCGCGUGCGGGAUGACGGCCUUCGGAUUGUAAACCGCUUUCGCCUGUGACGAAGCGUGAGUGACGGUAAUGGGUAAAGAAGCACCGGCUAACUACGUG